RNAcentral lists this ribosomal RNA (803 nucleotides) under uncultured Pelagibacteraceae bacterium. Its description in RNAcentral is "bacterial SSU rRNA". It matches the Rfam family "Bacterial small subunit ribosomal RNA", at positions 34 to 885 of the family's 1533-position model. The record is from RNAcentral. Lineage: Bacteria; Pseudomonadati; Pseudomonadota; Alphaproteobacteria; Candidatus Pelagibacterales; Candidatus Pelagibacteraceae.
CGCUGGCGGCACGCCUUAUACAUGCAAGUCGAACGAAGUAGCAAUACUUAGUGGCAGACGGGUGAGUAACAUGUGGGUAUCUUCCCUAUGGUGAGGAAUAACACGAGGAAACUUGUGCUAAUACCUCAUAAGUCUUUACGGAGAAAGCUUUAUGCGCCAUUGGAUGAGCCUGCACUUGAUUAGUUUGUUGGUAGGGUAAUGGCCUACCAAGACUGUGAUCAAUAGCUGAUUUGAGAGGAUGAUCAGCCACAUUGGGACUGAGACACGGCCCAAACUCCUACGGGAGGCAGCAGUAAGGAAUCUUGCACAAUGGAGGAAACUCUGAUGCAGCGAUGCCGCGUGAGUGAAGAAGGCCCUUGGGUUGUAAAGCUCUUUCGUCGGGGAAGAAAAUGACUGUACCCGAAUAAGAAGGUCCGGCUAACUUCGUGCCAGCAGCCGCGGUAAUACGAAGGGACCUAGCGUAGUUCGGAAUUACUGGGCUUAAAGAGUUCGUAGGUGGUUAAAAAAGUUGGUGGUGAAAUCCCAGAGCUUAACUCUGGAACUGCCAUCAAAACUUUUUAGCUAGAGUAUGAUAGAGGAAAGCAGAAUUUCUAGUGUAGAGGUGAAAUUCGUAGAUAUUAGAAAGAAUACCAAUUGCGAAGGCAGCUUUCUGGAUCAUUACUGACACUGAGGAACGAAAGCAUGGGUAGCGAAGAGGAUUAGAUACCCUCGUAGUCCAUGCCGUAAACGAUGUGUGUUAGACGUUGGAAAUUUAUUUUCAGUGUCGCAGCGAAAGCGAUAAACACACCGCCUGGGGAGUACGA